UUGGGUAUAGCUCAGUGGUGGAGCACUUGCCUCGCAUGCAUGAAGCCCUGGGUUUUAAUCCCAUCAUUUAAA
Molecule: transfer RNA, 72 nt
Filed under: Marmota monax (woodchuck)
Lineage: Eukaryota; Metazoa; Chordata; Mammalia; Rodentia; Sciuridae
Rfam family: tRNA
About the family: Transfer RNA (tRNA) molecules are approximately 80 nucleotides in length. Their secondary structure includes four short double-helical elements and three loops (D, anti-codon, and T loops).
Source: Rfam by way of RNAcentral